CGCGGGGCCUGGUUAUCGCCCGUCCAGCGCAGCCCGGAGUCGCCGAGACCUGAAUUCCUACCCAGGUCCCCGGCCUGGCCCCAGCAGGCUCGACCCCGGCCCCGGGCCCGCGAGGACACCGGAGGUCACCCCCCGGGGGUGGGAGCGGAGCCGCGGGUCAGCUCUGCGAGCGCCCGCGCUGGCCUGUCCGGCCCCGCCCCUGCCCCGGGCCAUGGCCCAGCCCUUGUCCCGGCCCCUUUUCCUAUCCCGAUUCGGGCCUUCGCCCCCGACCCCGCCCUCGUCCCGCUUCCCACAUAAGUUCCGGCUCCGGCCUGGGUCCCAGCGAAUGCCCAGAUCCGGGUCCCAGCUCAGGCCCCCACUCCAGUCCCUGGCCUGGUCCCCAUCCCAGCGCCUGCCCCUGUUUCACCUCCUUUCCCAAAUUCCAGCCCAGCCCUUGUCCCAGACCCAUUCUCAAAAUUUGCUUAAGCCCGGGGCCCAACCCCUGCCCUUCCUCCAGUCCCCAUCACAGUGCCUCCUUCCAUCACAUCCCCUACCCUUGCAUAAGUCCCAAUGCCCAGCCCAGCCCAACUCUUUAUCCCAGUCUUUGCCCUCAUCUCUGUGUUUACCCAGGUCUCUCCCACUACCCAGCCCUCUCUUUCAUACCCUGCCCCUCUCCCAGCCUCGACUCAGGUCUGGGCUCCAGCUGCCAUCAGCCUUACUGCUGCUGUUGCUGUUGUCUGUCCUUGGCCCAGGGGCUGGAGGCCUCUUCCUGACUGACUACUCCACCUGCUCACCCCGCAAGCUGAGUCCCUUCCGCUCCUUUGCCAGCACCGAGCUCUUCCACUUCCAUGUUCCCGAAGACACAUUCCUGGCCGUGUGGAACCUCAUCAUCUUCAAAGAGCAGGGGGGAACCUUUGGGGACCACUGCCCAGACCAAAGUGUGACUGUGUAUUUCCGUUCUGGGGCACCCCCCGUCAUCAAUCCCCUGCACACACACUUCCCAGGGGACACGGCUGUGCCUGGGGUUUUCUCACUGACUCUCAGCUGGACACUGCCCAACCGCACCUCUGGCAUCUUUAACGUCAGCAGCCCCUUACCUGGGGACUGGUUCUUGGCUGCCCACCUGCCCCGGACCCACGGCCACAUCUCUGUCAAGGGUCUCCAGGAUGAGUGUCAGUACCUCCUUCAGCCGCAGCUGAUUGUCCGGCGUUUGUUGGAUGUGGCUGUGCUGGUGCCUGGGCGACCCUCCGAGCAGACCCUCUCCCUCCACAAUCGCUCAGCCCUGUACAAGGUCUUUGUGCCCAGCUUCACUUACAGGGUUUCAGCGCAGCUCGUGUGCGUGGGGGGCCGCGGGGCAUCCGCCUGCCCCCUGACGCUGCGCCUACGUCCCAAGGCCCCACCCCUGCACAACUCAAGCUCUGUGGCCUGUGGAGGUGCCUCGGUAUGCCAGCUGGAGCUGGCACUGCCCCCCUGGGGGCACUGGGUCUACGUGCGUGUGGAGACACCAUCCCGGGGCCCUGGCAGGACCGUCUGUUUCCAGCUGUGCGUGCGAUUGCAAGAGUGCCCACAGCCCAGCCUGUCCCGUGCCCUGGUCCCUGGAGCUUCCAUGAACAUGCCCCAGUCACUGGGCAACCAGCCACUGCCCCCAGAGCCAUCAUCCCUCGGGGCCCCUGCCGAGGGGCCCGGGGCCACAUCCCCACCUGAGCACUGCUGGCCAGUGCGCCCGACGCUGCGCAAUGAGCUGGACACCUUCUCCGUCCACUUCUACGUCUUCUUUGGCCCCAGCGUGGCCCUCCCCCCAGAACGCCCAGCCGUGUUUGCCCUGAGGCUGCUGCCAGUGCUGGACAGCGGAGGCGUCCUCAGCCUGGAGCUCCAGCUCAACAAUUUAAACAAUUCUUCCCAAAGAAAGGAUUCAGAAGUGACCUUGCCUUCUCAUCAGUCUUUGAAAGAUCUCUGCUGUGGAAGAUCUGGUGUUUCCCAGUUUUUCUGUUUUAAGAACGAGGAGAGCUCCCUGCGCCAGGAAAAUGUGACAGUGUUCGGAUGCCUGACUCACGAGGUGCCCUUGAGCCUGGGGGAUGCAGCAAUGACUUGUUCCAAAGAGUCCCUGGCCGGCUUCCUCCUCACGGUCAGUGCCACCUCACGGGUGGCCAGGCUGCGAAUCCCGUUCCCGCAGACGGGGACCUGGUUCCUGACCCUGCGCUCCCUGUGCGGGGUGGGGCCUCGGUUCGUGCGGUGCCGGAACGCGACGGCCGAGGUGCGGCUGCGCACUUUCCUGUCCCCGUGUGUGGACGAUUGCGGGCCCUACGGCCAGUGCAAGCUGCUGCGCACGCACAACUACCUGUACGCGGCCUGCGAGUGCAAGGCUGGAUGGCGGGGCUGGGGCUGCACCGACAGUGCGGAUGCGCUCACCUACGGAUUCCAGCUUCUGUCCACGUUACUGCUCUGCUUGAGCAACCUCAUGUUUUUGCCCCCCGUGGUCCUGGCCAUUCGGAGCCGAUAUGUGUUGGAAGCGGCUGUCUACACCUUCACCAUGUUCUUCUCCACGUUCUACCAUGCCUGUGACCAGCCAGGCAUUGUGGUUUUCUGCAUCAUGGACUACGAUGUGCUGCAGUUCUGUGACUUCCUGGGCUCUUUAAUGUCCGUGUGGGUCACUGUCAUUGCCAUGGCUCGCUUACAGCCUGUGGUCAAGCAGGCUCAGUGACACUGGUGACCUGCAGGAGGAACUGGCACUCUCUGGCGUGGCGCUGCACUUGGCACGGGCCUCCGAGCAGCUGCAGGUGGCGUGGCAGGAGCUGGAACAGCUGCGCCGACAGCAAGCAAUGUGCCAGAUGGUAGCUGCUUUAUCAUCCUGAGUCCCACAGGGAUGAAGGCGACGGUGCAGAGCAGAUCCCCCAGCCGACCUCUGACGGACCUGCAGCGUUUUCAGGGGGCUCUGUUCCAGGUCAUCAUCCUCAGAGACCCUGGCUCCACCAUCUGGGACAUCACCAGUUCUUACGGCUGGGGAAGAACACACCAGAGCAUCUCACACCAGAAGUUAAGUGCUCCGACCCAGAAGUGACUUGUAUCCCAAAUGCCCACAACGCACUGGCCUGUGUAGUCCUACCACAUGCUCAGAAGGAAGAGGACCAGAAACGUUGCAGAGCCCUUGGGAAGGUGAGGAGCAUAACAAGAAGAAGCUCCUGUUACAAUUUCCCGGAAAUGCCUGGAUCUGGGAUUCCUGCUUCACAUUCCUCGCUGUGUUAGCAAAGCAGAAAUAAUGGUGCUGACUUCUCUGGGUUGGAGAACAGGCCUCAAAGUCCUCAUCCAGAGGACAGAAACAGGGCGAAGGUCCUUGAAAGACUCUUCCUUUUUUCUCUCCAUCAUCCUCUCAUGUCCUCCUUUUCCUUUCCUGUGGAUUCUCAGAGGGUAACAAGCUCCUAGAGGACAAGGACUGUGUCUUUCUUCUCCCUAGCCUCAGCACCAAACACAGGGCCUGGUUAAAUAGAUGUUAGUUAGGGACUUCCCUGGUGGUCCAGUGGUUAAGAAUCCAUCUUGCAAUGCAGGGGAUGCUGGUUUGAUCCCUGGUUGGGGAACUAUGAUCCCACAUGCCACGGGGCAACUAAGGCCCUGAGCCACAACUAGAGAGAAGCCUACAUGCCGCAACGAAAGAUCCCUCUUGCCGAAACUAAGACCCGUCACAGCCAAUAACUAAAUAAGUAUCUUUGAAAAAAGAUGUUAAAUAGAUGAAUAUAAUUCUACAUGUCACAAUUACAGUAGUUCCCCACUGCCCCAAUCUGUGGUGUUGCUUUCUGCAGUUUCAGUUACCUGUGGUCAACCGAGGUCCAAAAAUAUUAAAUGGCAAGUUCCAGAAAUAAACAAUUCAUAUUUUUUUUACCGCGGGCCUCUCACUGCUGUGGCUUCUCGCGUUGCGGAGCACAGGCUCUGGACGCGCAGGCUCAGCGGCCAUGGCUCAUGGGCCUAGGCGCUCCGUGGCAUGUGGGAUCUUCCCAGACCGGGGCACGAACCUGCGUCCCCUGCAUCGGCAGGCGGACUCUCAACCACUGCACCACCAGGGAAGCCCCAAUUCAUAUGUUUUAAAUUGCAUGCUGUUCUGAGUUAAGAUGAUGAAAUCUUGCGCUCUCCAGCUCCAUCCUGCCCAGGACCAUUAGGCACUUAGUGGCUGUCUAGGCUAUCAGAUUGAACGUCAGGGGACGGCAGUGCUUGUGAUUAAGUAACCCUUAUUUUACUUAAUAAUGGCCCCAAAGUGCAAGAGUAGUGAUGCUGGCAAUUCAGAUGUACCAAAGAGAAGCCAUAAAGUGCUUCCUUUAAGUGAAAAGGUGAAAGUUCUUAAUAAAGAAAGAAAAAAAUCGUAUGCUGAUGUUGCUGAGAUCUAUGACAUGGAUGAAUUUUCUAUCUGUGAAAUUGUGAAGAAAGAAAAAGAAAUCACCUGGAGCAGAUGAUCCUCCCUCUGACGUAUUGUCAGGUCAGUGGUAGCCUUACGCUACAUCACAGUACCUGCGUCAUUCAUCUUACUUCAUCUCAUCACGUAGGCAUUGUGUCAUCUCCCAUCAUCACAAGAAGAUGGGUGAGUACAGAACAAUAAGACAUUUGGAGAGAGAGGGAGCACAUUCACAUAACUUUUAUUACAGUAAAUUGUUAUAGUUGUUCUAUUUUAUUAUUAGCUAUUGUUAAUCCCUUACUGUGCCUAAUUUAUGGAUUAAACUUUAUAAUAGG
Molecule: RNA transcript, 4692 nt
Organism: Physeter macrocephalus (sperm whale)
Lineage: Eukaryota; Metazoa; Chordata; Mammalia; Artiodactyla; Physeteridae
Gene: TMEM8B
Gene name: transmembrane protein 8B
Exons: 19
Source: RefSeq, a predicted model, not a curated record